RNAcentral lists this ribosomal RNA (278 nucleotides) under uncultured Erythromicrobium sp. RNAcentral's name for it is "partial 16S ribosomal RNA". It matches the Rfam family "Bacterial small subunit ribosomal RNA", at positions 29 to 334 of the family's 1533-position model. Lineage: Bacteria; Pseudomonadati; Pseudomonadota; Alphaproteobacteria; Sphingomonadales; Erythrobacteraceae. The record is from RNAcentral.
AACGAACGCUGGCGGCAUGCCUAACACAUGCAAGUCGAACGAAACCUUCGGGUUUAGUGGCGCACGGGUGCGUAACGCGUGGGAACCUACCAUCAGGUUCGGGAUAACAGUUGGAAACGACUGCUAAUACCGGAUAAUGUCUUCGGACCAAAGAUUUAUCGCCUUUUGAUGGGCCCGCGUAAGAUUAGCUAGUUGGUAAGGUAAAAGCUUACCAAGGCGACGAUCUUUAGCUGGUCUGAGAGGAUGAUCAGCCACACUGGGACUGAGACACGGCCCAG